This 460-nucleotide ribosomal RNA is filed under the name uncultured bacterium. RNAcentral describes it as "partial 16S ribosomal RNA". It matches the Rfam family "Bacterial small subunit ribosomal RNA", at positions 332 to 795 of the family's 1533-position model. The record is from RNAcentral.
CAGAGUGACGACAUCAUUGAGGCAUCUUGGUCAAUGGACGAGAGUCUGAACCAGCCAAGUAGCGUGAAGUCUUCCUUCCCUCUUUUUUUUCCCCUUCUUUUCUCUUUUCCUCCCCUUUUCCCCUUUUGGUAUUUUGUAUGUACCAUAUGAAUAAGGCUCGUCUAACUCCGUGCCAGCCUCCUCGGUAAUACGGCGGAUCCUCUCGUUCUCCGUCUUUAUUGGGGUUAAAGGGAGCGUAGGUGGAUUGUUAAGUCAGUUGUGAAAGUUUGCGGCUCAACCGUAAAAUUGCAGUUGAAAAGGGCAGUCUUGAGUACAGUAGAGGUGGGCGGAAUUAGGGGGGGAGAGGUGAAAGGCUUAGAGAUCACGAAGAACUCCGAUUGCGAAGGCAGUUCAAGGGACGGAAAAGGACACUGAGGCGCGAAAGUGGGGGGAGAAAACAGGAGGAGAGAAAAGAGGAGGC